CAGGAAUAGGAGGAGGAAGUAACCAUGGCUUGCUGCAUGCCAAACGGGGUGUCACUACUAGAAGUUUUCAUUUCAGAAGGGCUGUACCAGAAGAAAUGAGCCAAAACUUGGGAAUCAGGAGGAUAGUGUAGAAAUCUGGGAGUAAAAUUCAAGGAUCUAUCCUGAAAGAGUUAAGCAGAGACAGGAAAAAAGUGGCAAUCAGGGAAACGACGUAUAGUAUGUGCAAUGGAGAAAAUCCUCUAUCUUGUAUACUGCCCCAGUGCACUUCUAGACAGAGGGUGGGACUGUAAAGGAGCUGUCCUUUCAUUUGGCUAUCCUGCAAGGCUCUUCUAUGUCAGUCCUUCUUCAGAAGCUGGAGAGGAUCUAUAGGCUGUCACCCCAUGGGACAUUGCAGAAGACCUCAGGAGUCCAGAUGAUUUCAUGACAAACAAGCAGAUUGCUGAUUAUAAGUUUGCUUCCUGUGUACACAGAAAGGAUGCCCUAGCCAUUUCAAUUCUAUUCCAAUUUCAGGAAAAAGGAAAAAGAAGAAAAGAAUUUCUUUGAGAGCACGCAUCAGGGAAACUAACAAUGCAUUUCAGAAUUGAGAUGUAUCUCGACUUUGCUCAUAAAUCAGGGGAGAUAGAAGGCACUGGAUCUCUCUGAUGAAGGCUAUUUUUCUAUCAUUACGUGGCCUGUUCUGUUUUGUUAUUUACCUAUGAUGUAUCUUUGAUGUGCAACUAGUUUUAGCUUCUGUGUAUAUUUUUAAGAAUUAUACAAACAUAAACAAUUCCUAAAGUUUUGAACAAUAUUCUGUAUAACAAACUGAAAUUAAAAUAUAUUUGGGGUCAAUUGUAUUGGGGAUUAAUGAGGAAAUUUUAUUGCUAAGGAAUGCUUUCAAGCAAAAGAGGACACAAAUAUUUCUUUAGUCCGUAAUCCCAUGUUCAUUGCCUUUUUUUCUCAAUCUCUUCUUCUCAAUGAUUUCUUCCUUCCUUCCUCCCUCACUCCCUCCCUCCCUUUUUUCCUUCCUUCCUUUCUUCCUUCCUUCCUUCCUUUCGAGGAAGAUUAGCCCUGAGCUAACUGCUGCCAAUCCUCCUCUUUUUGCUGAGGAAGACUGGCCCUGAGCUACCAUUCGUGCCCAUCUUCCUCUACUUUAUAUGUGAGAUGCCUUACCACAGUAUGGUUUGCCAAGCGGUGCCAUGUCCACAUUCCGGAUACAAACCGGUGAACCCUGGGCCCCAAGGCCAAACAUGCGCACUUAACUGUUGCACCGCUGGGCCGGCCCCUCAAUGAUUUCUUGAUGACUCCCAAAUUUUCCAUCUUUUAAAAAUCCACUCUGUCAUUUUGCCCUUUAUUAUUCCUCUCCUUUACUGUAUUAGUUUCCUUCCCAUCAUCUUUCUUUCUCUUGAUAUUGAGCUUGCAUUUGAGCUAGACAUACUCAUAUCACUUCUAAAUUUUUGAGGAGAGAAUCUAGAUUUUGUAGGACAUAAAGCUUAUAACAUUUGAGGUGAGGGGACUCUUUAAGAAAAGUUACAUAAAUUUACCAUAACUAGACAGAGGUUUGGAAGGACCUGUGCAAGUGAAGGGCCCUGAAGUUUGAGCUUUAUGGUCAAUCCUCCCAUUAUUGUUAAUCCAUCUCAGACCUGCUCUUCCUUUCCAUUGAUUUCUCAUUAUUUCUUUACUGGAGGACAAAAUACAACGUGGCUUUCACUUUUGUUAUUCAGUGCCCUAUUUUCACCAGCUGUGAAGCAGCCAGUUGUGUAAAGCAGCAGCAGCUGUGGACUUGGGAGCAACUCUCAGAGAUAAAAUUCUUAUCAAUGUACACCUCUCUCUGAACAAGAUUGGAGCUAGAUGAGAUUCUGAGCGAGGCAGGCAAUUGUUUAGCAAUGCAAUUUUCACUUUGAAAGAGAAGGGGCGGAAGAUAGAAAGGCAUGGAUAGAGAGAGUUGGUGUACAGGAAACCAGUUUUGCAUUUUUUAUGGUGAAAAAUAAUAUAUGAAUGCAAAAGGAAUUUUGGAAGCAACUGUCAAGAGUGAGUUAAGAGAUAUAUCAACUUGUUUGCUUAUAAUUAGUUAAUCUUUAACACUCCUAUUCCUACUGCUAGAGAAGCAGUAUGAAGUGAUAGAAAAACUGCAGCUUUGAAAUUAAACCAACCUCAAUGAAAACCUUGAGUCUGACACUUAUUAGCCAUAAGAUUCUAACAACUCUGAGGCACUGUUGCAUCAGAUAUAAACUGGAGGGGGGAAUGACCAGGUUGCUGUAGGUAUUCAUUACCAUAUUUGUAUAUGUACAUAAAUAAUGCUAGAUAAAUCAUA
RNAcentral lists this long non-coding RNA (2290 nucleotides) under Equus caballus (horse). Its description in RNAcentral is "lncRNA (ENSECAG00000048936.1)". The record is from RNAcentral. Lineage: Eukaryota; Metazoa; Chordata; Mammalia; Perissodactyla; Equidae.